GACGAACGCUGGCGGCGUGCUUAACACAUGCAAGUCGAACGGUGAAGCGCCUUCCUUUUUGGUGGGUGUGGAUGAGUGGCGAACGGGUGAGUAACACGUGAGUAACCUGCCCCCUUCUUCUGGAUAACCGCAUGAAAGUGUGGCUAAUACGAGAUAUUCUGGGUCUGUCGCAUGAUGGGUCUGGGAAAGAUAUUGUUUCGGUGGGGGAUGGGCUCGCGGCCUAUCAGCUUGUUGGUGGGGUGAUGGCCUACCAAGGCGGUGACGGGUAGCCGGCCUGAGAGGGUGGACGGUCACACUGGGACUGAGACACGGCCCAGACUCCUACGGGAGGCAGCAGUGGGGAAUAUUGCACAAUGGGCGCAAGCCUGAUGCAGCGACGCCGCGUGAGGGAUGGAGGCCUUCGGGUUGUGAACCUCUUUCGCCAGUGAAGCAGGCCUGCCUCGUUUGUGGGUGGGUUGACGGUAGCUGGAUAAGAAGCGCCGGCUAACUACGUG
RNAcentral lists this ribosomal RNA (494 nucleotides) under uncultured bacterium. RNAcentral describes it as "partial 16S ribosomal RNA". It matches the Rfam family "Bacterial small subunit ribosomal RNA", at positions 28 to 507 of the family's 1533-position model. The record is from RNAcentral.